Long non-coding RNA from Gadus macrocephalus (Pacific cod), 1724 nucleotides. RefSeq lists it as uncharacterized. Lineage: Eukaryota; Metazoa; Chordata; Actinopteri; Gadiformes; Gadidae. The transcript has 2 exons. The record is from RefSeq and is a predicted model, not a curated record.
ACACACAUGGACUGUCACGCACACGUGCACUCUCACAUGCAUUCUCCAUACAUGCAUACUCUCAUACAGAUAUGCACUCUCACACACACACACACACGCAUGCACCCACUCUCUCACAGACGCACACUCACCUGUACACUCACACUCUGGAGCGUCCCGGUCAUUUAUUUUCCGUUCCCAGUGAUCCUUUUACCGGAGCAAUGGCUUCGAUCCCGCCGCCGUCAUCAGAGGGUGAACUGUAGUCCAUCUGCUAUGAGCUCUGAGAUGAUCUGUUUAAAGCUGACGGCCUCCGUUAUGAGCCACUCUGAGCUUAAGACUCCUGCAGGCUUAUUCAGACUAAUCAGGGGCUCCCCUCCCCCCCCCCCCGCCCUUCUCGAUGGUUGAAGUAAUGCCGAGUGUGUUGUUGGCAAACCGCUGUCAUCACGGUCGUCUGACCCUGGCCACCUGAAGCCGCCAGACCGGACGCACUGCCCGUUGCUUCUGGUCGGUCGGAGCUCCGCCCGCUAGCCAGUUCCCGCUCCAUUCUCUCCUCCCACUGGAGCGAUCCCAAACACGUCCCGGUGGUCAGAGGUCAGCCAUGGGGUCGGCCGCCAGGCGAGGCAGACGUCCGAGUGUGGACGGACAAGGUGCUUGGGACCGAGGGGCGGGCGGUGGUCGGGUCACGGCUGUGGAGCCCACCAGCCCCGUCCCGCCCACAGCCACACCGGCCCCGAUGCGUGUUUCCCGUCACCGUGGUCGACGUGGCGACCGUGGUACCUUGGUCCCCAUGGUGACCGUGGUCGACGUGGCGACCUUGGUGCAGUGUUCACCUGGUCACCGUGGUGAUCGUGGUACCAUGGUGACCGUGGUUACUGGUCCCCCUGGUGACCGUGGCCCCCUGUGCCCCGUGUUCUCCGUGGUUACAGUGGUUACCGGGGCUUCCAAACAGCUGUUGCAUCACUGCUUCGCCGUGGGGACGGGCCGCAGCACGUCUGCAUUCUUUGUUGUUCCUGAGAGGGGGCGGGGCCUCCGAGAGGGGGAGGAGCCUCUGUUUGGACGCACCCUGGCACCCUGCCUGAGGGAGGGAGCAUUGUGAUCAGAUGAACCGCUCCCCAGGGGUCGGAGCUCUGAAUGGGUCUCUGGUCCACACCAGACGCCCUCGCACUCCUCAAUGGAGCCGAGUCCUUUCCCUCCUCUCUCCUUCUGUCCUCUUUGUGUUCCCUUCCUUGAUGUGCCAUCCUGUGUGUCAUCACACGCAGCUCACACCGAGAGGCGGAUCAGAGCGGGCUCUACUUUAUCACUCUGAGGUCUCACCCCAGGAGAACGUUGAGAUGGUGGGUACUCUUUAGUACAGGACUCAGUCCGCACUACGCCCUGGUGCCUGCGGGGGCAGCAGUGAGUCGGUAUUUAUACCCUCAGACACCGACUGAUGAACACAGAGCCUGUCCCUCAGAGAACCAUCCCAGCCUUCAGGGUCUGUGGAGAGAGUCCUCUCCACGGCAACGCACUGUGAGCCCGCUCAGACCUGGAGAACGUUCCUCUGAGCCCGCUCAGACCCGGAGAACGUUCCUCUGAGCCUGCUCAGACCCGGAGAACGUUCCUCUGAGACCGCUCAGACCCGGAGAACGUUCCUCAUCUCCUCCUCCCUUCAUCAGGGUGUAGAGGGAGGGCUGAAUGCAGAUCAGUUUGUCCCCGGGGUGUUUCCGCGGCUCCGAUGCAGAGCUGUGACGUUGGACACGUGGGUA